UGUUAUGGCGGGCUGUGCAUGGGACACCUUCGGGUGUGCCGGUUUCCUCUUACACCGGUAUUCCUACCCUGUGCGCAGUCCGCCUCCAUU
This 90-nucleotide non-coding RNA is filed under the name Vreelandella titanicae. The record is from RNAcentral. Lineage: Bacteria; Pseudomonadati; Pseudomonadota; Gammaproteobacteria; Oceanospirillales; Halomonadaceae.